AUUGAACGCUGGCGGCAGGCCUAACACAUGCAAGUCGAACGGUAGCACAGAGAGCUUGCUCUCGGGUGCCGAGUGGCGGACGGGUGAGUAAUGUCUGGGAAACUGCCCGAUGGGGGGGGAUAACUACUGGAAACGGUAGCUAAUACCGCAUAAUGUCGCAAGACCAAAGAGGGGGACCUUCGGGCCUCUUGCCAUCGGAUGUGCCCAGAUGGGAUUAGCUUGUUGGUGAGGUAAUGGCUCACCAAGGCGACGAUCCCUAGCUGGUCUGAGAGGAUGACCAGCCACACUGGAACUGAGACACGGUCCAGACUCCUACGGGAGGCAGCAGUGGGGAAUAUUGCACAAUGGGCGCAAGCCUGAUGCAGCCAUGCCGCGUGUGUGAAGAAGGCCUUCGGGUUGUAAAGCACUUUCAGCGGGGAGGAAGGCGAUACGGUUAAUAACCGUGUUGAUUGACGUUACCCGCAGAAGAAGCACCGGCUAACUCCGUG
Molecule: ribosomal RNA, 488 nt
Filed under: uncultured bacterium
Lineage: Bacteria
Description: partial 16S ribosomal RNA
Rfam family: Bacterial small subunit ribosomal RNA
Source: RNAcentral